Molecule: ribosomal RNA, 254 nt
Filed under: uncultured bacterium
Lineage: Bacteria
Description: partial 16S ribosomal RNA
Rfam family: Bacterial small subunit ribosomal RNA
Source: RNAcentral
UACGUAGGGUGCGAGCGUUGUCCGGAAUCACUGGGCGUAAAGCGCACGUAGGCGGACUCUUAAGUCGGGGGUGAAAUCCUGGAGCUCAACUCCAGAACUGCCUUCGAUACUGGGAGCCUUCGAGUUCGGGAGAGGUGAGUGGAACUGCGAGUGUAGAGGUGAAAUUCGUAGAUAUUCGCAAGAACACCAGUGGCGAAGGCGGCUCACUGGCCCGAUACUGACGCUGAGGUGCGAAAGCGUGGGGAGCAAACAGG